Long non-coding RNA from Nicotiana tabacum (common tobacco), 558 nucleotides. RefSeq lists it as uncharacterized. The record is from RefSeq and is a predicted model, not a curated record. Lineage: Eukaryota; Viridiplantae; Streptophyta; Magnoliopsida; Solanales; Solanaceae.
UUAAGUUUUGCCACCCUAAAGCCCUCGUAUAAGAAGCUCAUGUUCUUGAUUUCUAGGGCAGAUAUUGGGAGGAUUCCAAAAAAACGGCUGAAAAAUUUUCCAAAAAAACUACUUUAGUUUUGAGCUUGAUUUCUUUCUUUGGCUAAAAAGUUCAGAAGUGGUCUUUCUUGGGAUUUUUCUGGUUUUUCUAAGAUGAAAUAUGGCUGGAUAUUGAGGUACUCCUUUGAAUCUCUGGAAUUUGAAGUGAAUAUGACAAUGCAUGUGUUAAGGCUAAUGUGAUUAGUCAUUGAUUUUUCAGAAAUUGGUUCCUAAGUUCUAUUAAUUUGUAUAUCUCUUCUUCUAUUAGUCAAUGGAUGUAAAUCAGUGUUAGAGUAUAAAAGUUGUCAUUGUAACACAUGAAUUUUAGGACUUGAAUUUUGUUUGUGUUAAGAAUCUUGCGAAAGGUGUUAGAUGUCUGAACCAAGUGUAUGUACACUGUGAUUUUGGUUUUUGGUCUAUGUUGGAGUCAUUUGAGUCUUUGAUAUGGCGACUUUGGGAAUGAUGUCUGGAGUUUGGUUA